RNAcentral lists this unclassified non-coding RNA (337 nucleotides) under soil metagenome. Its description in RNAcentral is "partial contains 5.8S ribosomal RNA, internal transcribed spacer 2, and large subunit ribosomal RNA". The stretch from base 1 to 120 matches the Rfam family "5.8S ribosomal RNA", at positions 35 to 154 of the family's 154-position model. The record is from RNAcentral.
GAUGAAGAACGUAGCGAAAUGCGAUAAGUAGUGUGAAUUGCAGAAUUCAGUGAAUCAUCGAAUCUUUGAACGCACAUUGCGCCCCUUGGUAUUCCAUGGGGCAUGCCUGUUCGAGCGUCAUUUGUACCUUCAAGCUCUGCUUGGUGUUGGGUGAUUGUCUCGCCUCUGCGUGUAGACUCGCCUCAAAACAAUUGGCAGCCGGCGUAUUGAUUUCGGAGCGCAGUACAUCUCGCGCUUUGCACUCAUAACGACGACGUCCAAAAGUACAUUUUUACACUCUUGACCUCGGAUCAGGUAGGGAUACCCGCUGAACUUAAGCAUAUCAAUAAGCGGAGGA